RNAcentral lists this ribosomal RNA (164 nucleotides) under Calamus fissus. RNAcentral's name for it is "5.8S ribosomal RNA". It matches the Rfam family "5.8S ribosomal RNA". From Rfam's summary of the family: 5.8S ribosomal RNA (5.8S rRNA) is a component of the large subunit of the eukaryotic ribosome. It is transcribed by RNA polymerase I as part of the 45S precursor that also contains 18S and 28S rRNA. Functionally, it is thought that 5.8S rRNA may be involved in ribosome translocation. The record is from RNAcentral. Lineage: Eukaryota; Viridiplantae; Streptophyta; Magnoliopsida; Arecales; Arecaceae.
GGUACAACUCUCGGCAAUGGAUAUCUCGGCUCUCGCAUCGAUGAAGAAUGUAGCAAAAUGCGAUACAUGGUGCGAAUUGCAGAAUCCCGCGAACCAUCGAGUCUUCAAACGCAAGUUACGCCUGAGGCCAUCCGGUCAAAGGAAUGCCUGCCUGGGCACCAACC